AUUGUGCCAGCCGCCGCGCGGUAAUACGAGUGGUGCAAGCGUUAUUCGGAAUCACUGGGCGUAAAGGGUGUGUAGGCGACAAAUCAAGUCUAUUGUUAAAUAUCUCGGCUUAACCGGGAAGAUGCGAUGGAAACUGUUUUGAUAGAGGAUGGAAGAGAGGAGUGGAAUUCUCGGAGUAGCGGUAAAAUGCGUAGAUAUCGAGAGGAACACCGAUGGCGAAGGCAGCUUCUUGGUCCAUACCUGACGCUGAUACACGAAAGCGUGGGGAGCAAACAGGAUUAGAUACCCUGGUAGUCCACGCUGUAAACGAUGAUCACUUGAUGUUGGUUCUGCUUAGCGGAAUCAGUGUCGGAGCUAACGCGUUAAGUGAUCCGCCUGGGGAGUACGGUCGCAAGACUAAAACUCAAAAGAAUUGACGGGGGCCCGCACAAGCGGUGGAACAUGUGGUUUAAUUCGACACUACGCGAGGAACCUUACCUGGGCUUGACAUGUUUUUGACAGUUGUAGAAAUACAAUCUUCUAGGCUUCGGUCUAGACAAUUACACAGGUGCUGCAUGGCUGUCGUCAGCUCGUGUCGUGAGAUGUUGGGUUAAGUCCUAUAACGAGCGCAACUCUCGCUGUCAGUUGCUACCAUUAAGUUGGGCACUCUGACGGGACUGCCCGGGAAACCGGGAGGAAGGUGGGAAUGACGUCAAGUCCGCAUGGCCCUUAUGUCCAGGGCGACACACGUGUUACAAUGGCCGAUACAAAGGGCUGCCAACUCGUAAGAGUGAGCUAAUCCCCAAAGUCGGUCUAAGUUCGGAUUGAGGUCUGCAACCCGACCUCAUGAAGUUGAAAUCGCUAGUAAUUGCGCAUCAGAACGGCGCAGUGAAUACGUUCUCGGGCCUUGCACACACCGCCCGUCAAAU
This 908-nucleotide ribosomal RNA is filed under the name uncultured bacterium. RNAcentral describes it as "bacterial SSU rRNA". It matches the Rfam family "Bacterial small subunit ribosomal RNA", at positions 502 to 1402 of the family's 1533-position model. The record is from RNAcentral.